This 253-nucleotide ribosomal RNA is filed under the name uncultured bacterium. RNAcentral's name for it is "partial 16S ribosomal RNA". It matches the Rfam family "Bacterial small subunit ribosomal RNA", at positions 524 to 776 of the family's 1533-position model. The record is from RNAcentral.
UACAGAGGGUGCAAGCGUUGUUCGGAAUUAUUGGGCGUAAAGGGCGCGUAGGCGGUGCCACAAGUCACCUGUGAAAUCUCCGGGCUUAACUCGGAGCCUGCAGGCGAAACUGUGGUGCUGGAGUGUGGGAGAGGUGCGUGGAAUUCCCGGUGUAGCGGUGAAAUGCGUAGAUAUCUGGAGGAACACCGGUGGCGAAGGCGGCAUCCUGGACCGGCAUUGACGCUGAGGAGCGAAAGCCAGGGGAGCAAACGGG